UACGGAGGGUGCAAGCGUUAUCCGGAUUCACUGGGUUUAAAGGGUGCGUAGGCGGGUUGGUAAGUCCGUGGUGAAAUCCCCAAGCUUAACUUGGGAACUGCCGUGGAUACUGUCAAUCUUGAAUAUCGUGGAGGUAAGCGGAAUAUGUCAUGUAGCGGUGAAAUGCUUAGAUAUGACAUAGAACACCAAUUGCGUAGGCAGCUUACUACACGAUCAUUGACGCUGAGGCACGAAAGCGUGGGGAGCAAACAGG
RNAcentral lists this ribosomal RNA (253 nucleotides) under uncultured bacterium. RNAcentral describes it as "partial 16S ribosomal RNA". It matches the Rfam family "Bacterial small subunit ribosomal RNA", at positions 524 to 776 of the family's 1533-position model. The record is from RNAcentral.